AAUAAAUGUGAAGUACUUAACAUUACCACUCCAACGGACCAAACAUCCGCACUGAAGAACCAAUUUCCGUUUAGAUGGUGCGCAAAUCACAUGCGGUAUCUAGGUAUCGCAAUAACCAGAGACCUAGGCGACAUGUAUCGUACGAACUUCCUACCACUACUACAACGAAUCCAACAAGAUUUGAAAACGUGGACAUAUCCACACAUCUCGUGGUUAGGCCGGAUCGCAAUACUUAAGAUGAAUAUUCUACCACGG
This is a non-coding RNA of Pelobates cultripes (western spadefoot toad), 255 nucleotides long. NCBI's taxonomy places the organism in Eukaryota, Metazoa, Chordata, Amphibia, Anura, Pelobatidae. The record is from the annotation of a GenBank genome assembly.